This 465-nucleotide ribosomal RNA is filed under the name uncultured bacterium. RNAcentral describes it as "partial 16S ribosomal RNA". It matches the Rfam family "Bacterial small subunit ribosomal RNA", at positions 28 to 507 of the family's 1533-position model. The record is from RNAcentral.
GACGAACGCUGGCGGCGUGCUUAACACAUGCAAGUCGAACGGAAAGGCCCCGUUGUGGGUCCUCGAGUGGCGAACGGGGGAGUAACACGAGAGUAACCUGCCCUUGACUUCGGGAUAACUUCAGGAAACUGGGGCCAAUACCGGAAAGGAAUCCUUGCUGCAUGGGGGGGGUUGGAAAGCUACGGCGGUUUUGGGUGGACUCGCGGCUUAGCAGCUUGUUGGUGGGGUAGUGGCUUACCAAGGCGUUGUCGGGUAGCCGGCCUGAGAGGGCGACCGGCCACCUUGGGACUGAGGUGCGGCCCAGGCUCCUACGGGUGGCAGCAGUGGGGAAUCUUGACCGAUGGGCGGAGGCCUGAUGCAGCAAGGCCGCGUGCGGGAUGACGGCCUUCGGGUUGUAAACCGCUUUCAGCAGGGGCGAAGCUUGUGGUGACGGUACCUGCAGAAGAAGCACCGGCUAACUACGUG